GACGGCAAAUUUCUAACUAGGCUUGCGUCCUACAGUCAGCAUUGCUCUGAUACCACUUUGUAAUACCCGAUUUUAAGGAUAAAACCAGAUAUACACCAUAUGUGAGUCUUAAAAACCAAAUCUCACACAUAGCUACAAAAGGUGUAAUAUCAAAAGACAAUGCAUAACGUACGUAAUAAGUCAGAUAUAAUCUUAGGCAGCAAACAACGGAAAACUCUAAAUUUCAGGUACUAACUUCACUCUACAGGAUCCAACUGACUGGUUGAUCACAAGCCUAAAAUAUCUCCUAAAGUGUGGGGAAAAUAGCAAGAGUAUGUCCAUGUCGAACUACACAAGUAUAACAACUAGAUUGUAUAGAUCCCACA
This 365-nucleotide long non-coding RNA is filed under the name Sorghum bicolor (sorghum). RNAcentral's name for it is "long non-coding RNA (SBIC_LNC015591)". Lineage: Eukaryota; Viridiplantae; Streptophyta; Magnoliopsida; Poales; Poaceae. The record is from RNAcentral.